Molecule: ribosomal RNA, 460 nt
Filed under: uncultured bacterium
Lineage: Bacteria
Description: partial 16S ribosomal RNA
Rfam family: Bacterial small subunit ribosomal RNA
Source: RNAcentral
CCUACGGGAGGCAGCAGUGAGGAAUAUUGGUCAAUGGCCGGAAGGCUGAACCAGCCAUGCCGCGUGAAGGUCAGUGCCCUAUGGGCGUUAAACUUCUUUUGUGCGGGAGCAAUAAUGGUCACGUGUGGCCAGACGAGAGUACCGUACGAAUAAGCAUCGGCUAACUCCGUGCCAGCAGCCGCGGUAAUACGGGGGAUGCAAGCGUUAUCCGGAUUUAUUGGGGUUAAGGGGUGCGUAGGCUGUGAGGUAAGUCAGCGGUGAAAUGCCCCCGCUCAACGGGGUGAAGUGCCAUUGAAACUGCCUUGCUGGAAUGCGGAUGCCGUGGGAGGAAUGUGUGGUGUAGCGGUGAAAUGCAGAGAUAUCACACAGAACACCGAUUGCGAAGGCAUCUCACGAAUCCGCGAUUGACGCUGAUGCACGAAAGCGUGGGUAUCAAACAGGAUUAGAUACCCCAGUAGUC